GCCUGUGUCUGACUCAGAAGAUGACUAUAUGGAUGGAAUGGACAGUUGAGUUUGUGUCUAAGCUGUGGCCACCUUAGUAGUAUAUCCUCCUGGUAGCUCUCCUUCCCUGCCACACUCAUCCAUCAGCCCAUUUCCUGAGGAUUCACCUUUAAUAAGAAAGUAACAUGUUCUUCUUGACGUAAAGAACAAAUCAUGCCCAUUGAAAGUAUACAACUGGAUGAAUUUUGACAGAAUUAUGUAUACUCCCUUGAAGCCACCGCUGAAACGAGAUGCAGAACAUCAGCACCACCUCCUGGACUUCCUCCCAAGGCUGUAAUCCACCUACUCUCUACCCCAACCCCCAGGUAGAACUGACUUCCCAUGGUUUAUGACAGGCUUCAUUUCCAAAGUGGAAUGCAGUUCUUCAAAUAAGAAGAUGCACCUCUCUCCAGAGCUAACAGAAACACACGGAAUGCAGUAAUAACUAUAAAAAAUCAAAGAGCUUCAGCGUAUGUAGUUUCCACUUUGA
This is a long non-coding RNA of Fukomys damarensis (Damara mole-rat), 508 nucleotides long. RefSeq lists it as uncharacterized. The record is from RefSeq and is a predicted model, not a curated record. The transcript is spliced from 3 exons. Lineage: Eukaryota; Metazoa; Chordata; Mammalia; Rodentia; Bathyergidae.